Molecule: transfer RNA, 89 nt
Filed under: Blumeria graminis f. sp. tritici
Lineage: Eukaryota; Fungi; Ascomycota; Leotiomycetes; Helotiales; Erysiphaceae
Also listed under: 1 other name
Rfam family: tRNA
About the family: Transfer RNA (tRNA) molecules are approximately 80 nucleotides in length. Their secondary structure includes four short double-helical elements and three loops (D, anti-codon, and T loops).
Source: Rfam by way of RNAcentral
UCCCUCGUGGCGCAAUUGGCUAGCGCGUUCGACUGUUACAAGCAAUCUGUGCAAUCGAGAGGUUGGUGGUUCGAGCCCACCCGAGGGAG